CUGUGUGCUGCUACUGGUUCCAAAACGUGCCACAUAGAGCGCGUUCCAGCAGCAGCAGCAUUUAAGAUGUUUAUUUUUGAACAACAGCUGAUUACCACGUCUUGCUAACCUAAUUAUGUGUCUUGAUGAGGAGGGAAAGGUGAAACAAGGUGGUUUAGUGGCAUGUGUUUGUUAGGUACGGUGUCUGUUUACAUACCUACAAAUAGUACAAUAAGAAAAAUAAAAUGAAAUCACUUAGUACUUGGAGAAAAAAAAAAGAUAUGUACCUUCUUACAUAUACGAUGUAAGCAAUAAUUGUCAAUAAAAUUCAAAGAAGAGCAACGAUGCUCUAUUGUUUAUUUCCUUGCAAAAAAGUAGCACCUAGGUAAUGAGAAUUUUUUUUUAAAAAAAAAAUCCAAGAAAUCUUUAAUCAACAAAUAUCACAAUAAUCAUUGUGUUUUAAUAAAAAAAAAAAAGUCUCCUCCUUGAAUAGGCAGGUAGUAUCUAUUGUUCUCAAUUGAUUCCAUUUCCGAACUAAAUUAUUACAGUUUGAUUUUAGUAUCUAUUAGGUGUUUAGUUGUGUUUAGCUGCUUGCUUGCUUGCUUAAGUACCUACCUGCAAAAAUUUUUUUAUCAUAGGAGAUUAUGCUCAGUCUCAGUUUUUCUAUUUUUACACUUAGACGACCAUUAAUUUCCUAUGCAAUAAAAAAUAUUAUUCAAAUAAGUAAAAGCAGCAUGUGAUUUUUUUCAUCGAGUAAAAAAUACGCAUUUACAACAUAGAUAAUUAUGUCCCGUCGCAGUUUGUUGAUUUAUAUAUACUGGACGGAUCAAUAAUUAUCUAUGAAUAAAAUGAUAAUUUCUACUACUACUCUUCAAGUUGAAAAUAGUAUAGUAACAGUGUUGUGAAUUGUGAUAGUGAUUUUUUUUCAAUCAGUUGUUUUAAAAUAAACUUUGUUGUAUGAUAACAGUGUUGUGAUAGUGUUAGAUCAAUGUACUUUUUUUCGUGAAAUAAUUGAUAAAAAUCGUUUAAUUGAUAAAAAUUGUUUAAUUGAUAAAAAUCGUUUGUGAGUAAAGCUGUAACGUAUUCAAAAAAAAAAAAAAAAAAAACGAAAAAUUACGGAUCAAGAGUCAAGAUUUUUAAGAAUUUGGUUUGAAAUCACUCAACGAAACUAUUGUAUUUUGACGUUGAAAUUACAAAACUAGAAUUCUGUUAACGAGUAAAGCUGAAAAAUUGCCAAUUUGAAUGUGAAAUGGAUCGACAUCGACUACAUGAAAAUAAUACACGAUUUUCUAGUUUGUUUUUUUUUUUAAAAGAGUUGGUCGAAGUGCAAUUACUUAUUCGUUUUUUAUUCACAGUUUGCAACGAUGUUCUGACUCAUGAGAAAAAAGAUCGCACCAUCAUGAUGGAAUGAAGUACGAAUCGAAGUGGUUCGACAUUGCUGGUACAACGAAAUUGUACGCGACGCGCCUUGGGAAAUUGACAACGAUUUUCUCGAGAAACAUAAAAUUGAUUUCGUAGCUCACGAAGAGAUACCUUGAAAGCGAUCAAAGCAACGACGUGUACAUCAAGCUGAAAGAAAAAAAAGACCUGUUUGUUUGUCGCUACAAAACGAAUCGAAGUGUACAAAUGGUCACUUGAGUGUGUUGGUUGUUUUCUCUCAUUUGUUGGUUGAUGCGCAGAUGAAACAGCGACUUGUUCUAAUUGAUGUAUUGAAAUUAGCAAGAUUUAAUUACCCUUCCCUCAGAAUGCCAGUUUUGUGGUAAAGAUUAUCCACGUAAUUUUAUCAGUUGACAGGAGCAGUCGUUAAACAAUGAAAGGUUAAAAUAUUAUCCGAAUUGAUCAGCAACGGAAUCCAAAUCUAACAAUUCCCUCCACUGACGAUGAAACCGUUUCAGCUACGAACGCUGGAAUGAACGCGAUCAUUCUAUUCGCCAUUGUCGAUAGUACAGAAUUCGUAAAAAUUGUCAAUAAAAUGAUGAGAUCCCGGCAAUACCCUUGGGGAAUUGUUUACGAACCAAAGUGGUAUUUGGAUUAAUUUCCAGCUGUUUGUGAGUUUACUUUUACGUAGAAAUUGAAAAAUAAUUCGUAACGAGAGGAAUGAAGUACUUCGAAGGGGAUAAACCACUUCAUGGUUGAUUAUAUGAUUUGGCCUUGGUUCGAACGACUAGAUUGCUUCACACGAAGGAAAAGAAUUCGGCUGGAAAAAGAACCAUCUCACACUUCUACUCUUCUUUGUACGGUUCAUCGAAUGCACACUGACGAUGCAAGGUUUAUGAAUCGUGGAAGUGGCUUCCUUCAUGGAACGAGAACGUACCUCUUACACACAGAAGAAUGAUUGUACUAAUAGCCUAGAUUAUAUAAAGCACCUACUCUAUGUGAAGUGUACGGAUCGAUUAAAGCUUGGUAUCUUUU
Molecule: long non-coding RNA, 2391 nt
Organism: Planococcus citri (citrus mealybug)
Lineage: Eukaryota; Metazoa; Arthropoda; Insecta; Hemiptera; Pseudococcidae
Exons: 8
Source: RefSeq, a predicted model, not a curated record